This 609-nucleotide ribosomal RNA is filed under the name uncultured fungus. Its description in RNAcentral is "eukaryotic LSU rRNA". The stretch from base 225 to 378 matches the Rfam family "5.8S ribosomal RNA". The record is from RNAcentral. Lineage: Eukaryota; Fungi.
CUUCCGUAAGGGUGAACCUGCGGAAGGAUCAUUAAUGAAAUCAAAGGUUCAGGUUGUAGCUGGCUUUCUUUGGAAGCAUGUGCACACCUGUGACCGUUAUCCAUCUCAUCCCUGUGCACCUUUGCGUGGGUCAAGAGGGGCUUUUUGGCUCCUCGAGGCUUGCGUUUUCUUAUACACCCAUUGUAUGUUUCAGAAUGUUUACUUGCGUUAAUCGCAUCUAAUACAACUUUCAACAACGGAUCUCUUGGCUCUCGCAUCGAUGAAGAACGCAGCGAAAUGCGAUAAGUAAUGUGAAUUGCAGAAUUCAGUGAAUCAUCGAAUCUUUGAACGCACCUUGCGCCCUUUGGUAUUCCGAAGGGCACACCUGUUUGAGUGUCGUGAAAUUCUCAACUCUUUCUUUCUUUUUGGAAAGACUGAGCUUGGAUGUGGAGGCUUGCUGGGUCCCUUGACUGGGGUCAGCUCCUCUUGAAUGCAUUAGUGAGCCUCUCUGUGGCCUCGGUGUGAUAAUUGUCUACGCCGUGGGUUCUGCAGUAUUAUAGGACUUGCUUCUAACCGUCUCUUUUGAGACAACUUCAUUGAAACUUGACCUCAAAUCAGGUGGAUGCCAGU